UACGAGGGGGGCGAGCGUUGUUCGGAAUCACUGGGCGUAAAGAGUGCGUAGGCGGUUAUUAAAGUUAGGAGUGAAAGCCCCGAGCUCAACUUGGGAAUUGCUCUUAAUACUCCAUAACUCGAAUUCGGGAGAGGAUAGCGGAAUUGUCAGUGUAGCAGUGAAAUGCGUAGAUAUUGACAGGAACACCAGUGGCGUAGGCGGCUAUCUGGACCGACAUUGACGCUGAGGCACGAAAGCGUGGGGAUCAAACAGG
This 253-nucleotide ribosomal RNA is filed under the name uncultured bacterium. Its description in RNAcentral is "partial 16S ribosomal RNA". It matches the Rfam family "Bacterial small subunit ribosomal RNA", at positions 524 to 776 of the family's 1533-position model. The record is from RNAcentral.